AAAAAUCCUGUGAACGGGACGAGUAGCAAGGCUCAAGGCCCCAAGCGAGCCGGGGAGGGUGGAAGCCCGGCGGUCGUGGCUUUGGCGAAAAUCCCCCGGGAGGAGGCGACCCAAAGGCGAAAAGCCCAGUAGGUUUGCCCGGCGCCUGUGCCGUUAUUUUAACGAAGUGACCGGAUUUUUCCGGUAAUUUGGGUGGUACCGCGGUGUAAAGCCGUCCCUUAA
RNAcentral lists this non-coding RNA (222 nucleotides) under Carboxydothermus hydrogenoformans. RNAcentral describes it as "T-box sequence". It matches the Rfam family "T-box leader". From Rfam's summary of the family: Uncharged tRNA acts as the effector for transcription antitermination of genes in the T-box leader family. T-boxes are found upstream of many aminoacyl-tRNA synthetase genes and some amino acid biosynthetic genes usually in Gram-positive bacteria. The anticodon of a specific tRNA base pairs to a specifier sequence within the T-box motif, and the NCCA acceptor tail of the tRNA base pairs to a conserved bulge in the T-box antiterminator hairpin. The record is from RNAcentral. Lineage: Bacteria; Bacillati; Bacillota; Clostridia; Thermoanaerobacterales; Thermoanaerobacteraceae.